CUUCUAAUGUGACCACGGGAUCCUGGAGGCUUAAUGAAAAGGAGCCUGGUCUGUCCUAGUCCUCAUACCCUUCAGCUCUUGCCAGCCCAAUCAGAUCAGUAUCUGGUUCCUCUAACGUGCGGCAGCCCUUGGCCAAUGACUUCUUUAUAUCACAGCAUUUACCACUCUCUUUAUUACCUUCUGGACAUUCAUCCUUCCCGUGUCCUUUCUUUUUGCAUCCCGCACAUUAAUCUCUUUCUAGCCUUGUCUGGCUCUUGAAUCUCUGCCUAACUUGACCGCUUCCACAUCCACAUUUGCGUCCACGUCCUCUCACAUUGCUAAUCUCUCUAUAAAGACUGCUGCCAACAGAUUGGCCUUUUUCUUAAGCCUUCAAUCUGCUUCCUUUUUCCUUCCUGAGUUCUCCUGUUCCUAAGGCCAGCGGGCCAGGCAAUGACACCGGCCCCGCCCCCACGCACACACUGCCGUAGGUCUCUCCUGUUUCUUUCGGAUUUCUGUUUUUACUUUCUUCUUUCCCUUCUCACAUUUACUCUUUUGGGCUGGGUGGGGUCUGCACAACCGUAGUCCCCCUGGGCCAUCAUUGGCCCAGAGGCUUGGGAGAUGCCUGCCGCAAAAUGUCAGAAUUAUGCCCUUCCAUCUCCUUUGCUCUUCUCCCGGUGCUGGUCCCCCCCUCCCCCCUCUUUUUCCAGAUAGAGCCGGGCUGGGGAAAGGGGCUUAACCCUUGGCGUGCCUAGCUGCCUGGCACCACACUUGUUGCUUUUGCUCUUUUCUGUUUUGUUCUCUGGUCCUGAUUAACGUACACUGAGUGGCAUUCAUGCCUGCAGCUUCUGCUUGAUGUUACCCUGGGCUUGCCCUUCCAAUGCUGUGUUUACCAUGUGCUGAUUUUCAGCAGCCUCAGGGUGAAAUGGGGUGUAAAACCAGAAUACUUCACAAAGUCUCUGUAAUACUUCACAAAGCCACUGACUUAGGCUCUCAUCACCUCCCUGAAGCACUUUUGAAAUCUUCCCUAUAUUAAUUGCUUUCUAUCAGCUCUUAUCCCUUGCAAAAGCGACCUUUUGGUACCUCUGCAAACGCUGAAGUUGUGUUGCAUCCACCAGGUCCCAGUUGGGAUCUUGGUCUGGGAACUGACUCUGAGCACGUACCUGAGCAUUCACUGCAUCUUCUGGUGCAUUGGCUUCUAGCCAGCAGAGAGCUGCCUAUGUUACUCUCCUGCACUCCUCAGUGUUAAAUAAUGUGAGGAGGAGCUGCCUGCAGUCUGGCCCGGUUGGAUUGCAUGUCAGAAAGAUGGAUUGCAUCAGAUCUAAGAAGAGAUUAGGAUGUAGACACACAUGAGGAAAAACCAUGUGAAGACAAAGGGAGAAGAUGGCCAUCUAGAAGCCAAAGAGAGAGGCCUGAGAAGAAAUCAACCCUGAAAACACCCUGAUUCUGAACUUCUAUCUUCCAGAACUGUGAGAAAAUAAAUGUAUGUUGUUUAAGCUACUCAGAUUAUGGUGCUGUGUUAUGGUAACCUGCUAUGGUUUGAAUGUGUCUCCUAAACUUUAUUUGUUGGAACCUAAAUCCCCAAAUUCAUAUGUUUAUGGCAUUUGGAGGUGAGGCAUUGAGAGAAAAUUAGGAUGAGAUAAAGUCAUCAAGUUAUGCCUCCAUUAUGGGACUGGUGGCUUUAUAAAGAGAAGAAAAAAGACCUGAGCUGACAUACUGUUGCCCCCCUGACAGGUAAUCCCCUCUAUCUUUUUAUGAUGCAAUAAGAAGGCCCUCGCCAGAUGUGGCCCCUCAAGCGUGGACUUCCCAGCCUCCAGAACUGGAAGAAAUAAAUUUCUUUUUAAAAUAAAUUACUAGUCUGUGGUAUUCUGUUAAUAGCAAUAGAAAAUGGAUUAAGACAGAGCUUUAGUUGGGCCAGGCAUGGUGGCUCACCCCUGUAAUCCCAGCACUUCGGGAGGCC
This 1936-nucleotide long non-coding RNA is filed under the name Homo sapiens (human). Its description in RNAcentral is "HSALNT0208314". Lineage: Eukaryota; Metazoa; Chordata; Mammalia; Primates; Hominidae. The record is from RNAcentral.